This 251-nucleotide ribosomal RNA is filed under the name uncultured bacterium. RNAcentral describes it as "partial 16S ribosomal RNA". It matches the Rfam family "Bacterial small subunit ribosomal RNA", at positions 524 to 776 of the family's 1533-position model. The record is from RNAcentral.
UACAUAGGGUGCAAGCGUUGUCCGGAUUUAUUGGGCGUAAAGAGUUCGUAGGCGGUUUUUCGCGUCGGAUGUGAAAUCCCCGGGCUUAACCUGGGAACUGCGUUUGAAACUACAAGGCUAGUGUAGCAGAGGGGGGUGGAAUUCCACGUGUAGCAGUGAAAUGCGUAGAGAUGUGGAGGAACACCGAUGGCGAAGGCAGCCCCCUGGGUUAACACUGACGCUCAGGCACGAAAGCGUGGGGAGCAAACAGG